Molecule: ribosomal RNA, 449 nt
Filed under: uncultured bacterium
Lineage: Bacteria
Description: bacterial SSU rRNA
Rfam family: Bacterial small subunit ribosomal RNA
Source: RNAcentral
UGGGGAAUUUUGGACAAUGGGCGAAAGCCUGAUCCAGCAAUGCCGCGUGCAGGAUGAAGGCCUUCGGGUUGUAAACUGCUUUUGUACGGAACGAAAAAGCUUCUCCUAAUACGAGAGGCCCAUGACGGUACCGUAAGAAUAAGCACCGGCUAACUACGUGCCAGCAGCCGCGGUAAUACGUAGGGUGCGAGCGUUAAUCGGAAUUACUGGGCGUAAAGCGUGCGCAGGCGGUUAUGUAAGACAGAUGUGAAAUCCCCGGGCUCAACCUGGGAACUGCAUUUGUGACUGCAUGGCUAGAGUACGGUAGAGGGGGAUGGAAUUCCGCGUGUAGCAGUGAAAUGCGUAGAUAUGCGGAGGAACACCGAUGGCGAAGGCAAUCCCCUGGACCUGUACUGACGCUCAUGCACGAAAGCGUGGGGAGCAAACAGGAUUAGAUACCCGCGUAGUCC